AAUGAACGCUGGCGGCAUGCCUAACACAUGUAAGUCGAACGAGACCUUCGGGUCUAGUGGCGCACGGGUGCGUAACGCGUGGGAACCUGCCCUUAGGUUCGGAAUAACUCCCCGAAAGGGGUGCUAAUACCGGAUAAUGUCUUCGGACCAAAGAUUUAUCGCCUUUGGAUGGGCCCGCGUUGGAUUAGCUAGUUGGUAGGGUAAAAGCCUACCAAGGCGACGAUCCAUAGCUGGUCUGAGAGGAUGAUCAGCCACACUGGGACUGAGACACGGCCCAGACUCCUACGGGAGGCAGCAGUGGGGAAUAUUGGACAAUGGGCGAAAGCCUGAUCCAGCAAUGCCGCGUGAGUGAUGAAGGCCUUAGGGUUGUAAAGCUCUUUUACCCGGGAUGAUAAUGACAGUACCGGGAGAAUAAGCGCCGGCUAACUCCGUG
This 433-nucleotide ribosomal RNA is filed under the name uncultured bacterium. Its description in RNAcentral is "partial 16S ribosomal RNA". It matches the Rfam family "Bacterial small subunit ribosomal RNA", at positions 29 to 507 of the family's 1533-position model. The record is from RNAcentral.